GAACCAGCCAAUUGACCUACUUAUCUGAAUGCAUUUCUGUGGACAUUUAGAAAAAAGCUGGUUGAUAUCAUAUUAACAGCCUUAAGAGCAAGUGAGGUCUUUAAGGUCCACAAAAUUGACUAUAAUA
Arvicanthis niloticus (Nile rat) is the source of this 127-nucleotide small nucleolar RNA. RefSeq annotates it as small nucleolar RNA SNORA33. Lineage: Eukaryota; Metazoa; Chordata; Mammalia; Rodentia; Muridae. The record is from RefSeq and is a predicted model, not a curated record.